This 336-nucleotide RNase P RNA is filed under the name uncultured Bulleidia sp. Its description in RNAcentral is "Bacterial RNase P class B". It matches the Rfam family "Bacterial RNase P class B". Rfam says of the family: Ribonuclease P (RNase P) is a ubiquitous endoribonuclease, found in archaea, bacteria and eukarya as well as chloroplasts and mitochondria. Lineage: Bacteria; Bacillati; Bacillota; Erysipelotrichia; Erysipelotrichales; Erysipelotrichaceae. The record is from RNAcentral.
CCGCUGGUCUAUUCAGCCAGAGGAAAGUCCAUGCUCGCACUGCCUGCGAUGGCAGUAGUGUUUGUGCUGAUCCAAUCAAUAAGGUCAGGCAUGCCCAAUGGGCAUGACGGCGGAGCCGAAACCUAAAGGCGAAAGUCCAUGGUCAAGGUCCCUAAGGUGUCACAGUGACGCAGCCGGCAGGGAAACCCGCCGGGUGGAACGAGAUAAACCCCUCAAGCGAGAAACCCAAAUUUGGUAGGGGAACCAGCGAAAGCGAAGCGAAGCUUUCAACGGGCGCCUUUCAAAGGCGCAGAUAAAUGGCCGUAGCGCAGCAAUGCGUAACAGAACAUGGCUUAU